This 445-nucleotide ribosomal RNA is filed under the name uncultured bacterium. RNAcentral describes it as "bacterial SSU rRNA". It matches the Rfam family "Bacterial small subunit ribosomal RNA", at positions 330 to 792 of the family's 1533-position model. The record is from RNAcentral.
UCCAGACUCCUACGGGAGGCAGCAGUGGGGAAUAUUGCACAAUGGGGGAAACCCUGAUGCAGCGACGCCGCGUGAAGGAUGAAGUAUUUCGGUAUGUAAACUUCUAUCAGCAGGGAAGAAAAUGACGGUACCUGACCAAGAAGCCCCGGCUAACUACGUGCCAGCAGCCGCGGUAAUACGUAGGGGGCAAGCGUUAUCCGGAAUUACUGGGUGUAAAGGGAGCGUAGACGGCUGUGCAAGUCUGGAGUGAAAGGCGGGGGCCCAACCCCCGGACUGCUCUGGAAACUGUAUGGCUGGAGUGCAGGAGAGGUAAGCGGAAUUCCUAGUGUAGCGGUGAAAUGCGUAGAUAUUAGGAGGAACACCAGUGGCGAAGGCGGCUUACUGGACUGUAACUGACGUUGAGGCUCGAAAGCGUGGGGAGCAAACAGGAUUAGAUACCCCCGUA